AGUUACAAGUUGCUGGAGGGCAGCUGGUAUUAACUCAUCACCAGGGAGAGAGCACAGACAGGCAGGGGCAUGUAGUGCUCACUGGUCCUGUUCCUUCUCAUCCUUCCAGCAACUCCAAGAAAACAAUCUGAACCUAAGACAACAGACGCAGCUGCACCUGGGACAGCAGACACAGCUGGGCCUGGGACAAUGGACACAGCUGUACCUAGAAAAGCAGAAACAGCUGUGCCUGGGAAAAGGAACACAGCUGUGCCUGGAACAGCAGACCCAGCUUCACCUGGGACAGCAGACACAGCAGAACCUAUGAGAACAACCACUCCAACAGUUCUGGCCUCCUGGCCUUCUCUCACCCAGAGCACCAACAGCACCCAGCCCACGGCUCUUACCAGCCCCCUCACCAGGUGAGCAGAGCUGGGCUCCCACAGACCUUUCCCUAGGCUGCCCCAUGACUGCUCCUUCAGAUGCUCUCACCAGGGACCCUCAUGUGGCGCUCGUCAGGGGAGAAACAGUGAAGUCUGUAGUGGGCCUUCCCCUCCCUGUCUACACCUGAGCACUGCAGGAGAUUCUCCCUGAUGAGCUGCAACAGGCUGAGCUCCAGAGAGCAGGCUCUGGGCUCCAUGCUUCACCGAGUCCCUCAAGCCCCAGGAGGCAAAAGCGAGGUGAAGCUUUGGGUGCUCUGGAAGGGCAGCUGUCUGGGUGGCUUUCCUGUGGCUGCUGUAACUGAUCGUUACAAACUUUGUGGCUUAAAACAACACAGUCUCAUGAUCAUACAGCUGUGGAGACCAGAAGUCUGAAAUGGGUCUCACUGGGCUGAAAUCAAGGUGUUAACAGGGCUGGUUCCUUCUAGAGGCUCCAGCGGAGGGCCUGUUCCCUUGCCUUUUCCAGCUUCUGGAGGCCACCCGUGUUCCUUGGCUCAUGGCCCCCUCCUACCCAAAGCCAGCAAAGGUCGGUGGAGUCUCCCACAGAGCAUCGCUCCACUGUCUCUCCUGCCUCCCUCUUUCAUUUAUAAGGACGCUGGUGAUUCCACUGGGCUCAGCCAGAUGAUCCAGGAUAAUCCACCCUGGGUCACCUGACGAGCAGUCUCAAAUCCACCCACUGCCUUAAUUCCCCCUUGCAUGUAAUAAAACAUAUUCACAGGCUUUGGGGUUAUGACAUCGUGGGUGGGGUUCACUAUUCUGCCUACCACAGUCACAGGCAGGGGUGUGCCCAUCGCUCCAACUCUCCAGCCAAGGCUAGGGAAGGGCAGGGCGGGAGAGCGGGAAGCUGGGCCUCUUGCUUUUCUUUCACAUUCCCAGCAUGGUAGAUGGGUGUGGACAUCAAUCCGAAGCCCACCUCCUUUCGAGGGAUCAAUAGGAUGUCUCAUCACCGCGCAAAUGCGGCUGCCCCUGUUUAACCCCAUCACAGCCUGGUGCUUCAGGAUCCCUCAAAGUCCAGGGUCAAGGCCCAUUCUCUCCCUGGAUCCUGCCUUCCCUGCUCCACCGGCUCCCUUCUCCAGCCCAACUCCGUUCCUUUCAAAGGGUCUUGUUCCCUGGAGCCUGCCAGCACCGAUCCUGUGUUCCCUAGGAGUCCGGAAGAGGCGAGGCACUGGGGAUGCUUCCUGACCUGGCCUUCGUCUCGCUCCACUGUUUGCAGAGCGGUUGUUCUGCUGAGUGGGGAUGGCAGUGCCAGGACUUCUAGCGAGACGGGAGAGGCACAAGGGGAAACUUGGCGGGAAGAGACCAAGGGUGCGGCGGCUCCACGGGGAGUGGAACUUGCAAGAAGAACACAGUGGUUUAAAGGGUAUUUUUAGGAUGUGCAAUAUGGCAGGCCUGCUCUCACUCAAGAAAACUCUGAGUUAAAUUCACAUGACUCAUCACUGCUUCCAUGCCCUGGGCUGGAGGCCAGCUUCGGGGAGAGAACAGGGAUGGCCUGAGGGAAAGGGCCCUGGCACUGGGUGUAGGGGAGUGGAUGAGGAAUAAGACUGGGGAAUCAGACUCUUACACGCUGAUGGGGACUCCCCAGAACCCACUCGUUUAGCUAGACCAAAUAUUAAACAUGUGGGUGAUAUGAGGCAGCAGGUCUCAGAUCUGCUGUCAUAAAGUGGGUCCAAGCAGGAGGAGACCCCUCCCAGGAGAACCAAAUAGAUAAAUAGCCAGGUUGUUAGAAGUGGGGGAAUCUUCCUGUGCUUCAAAGAGGUAAUAAUAAUUAGAUUUGAGCUUGAAAGAUGGGCAGAAGUGACAAAGGGAGACACAAGGCAGAGAGAGGAGCAGAAGCAGGAAUACAGGACACAGCAGACCCUCGAGCUUGGCGGGACACAGGAUCCUGCUCUGCAACAUCCACUUCCUGCUCCCGAUCUCCCUGAAGGGGCUGCUGCUCGUGGGCCUGCUCUGCACUGUGCUGCAAGUGAGCAGUGCUAAGGGGGCCUCCAGGGGGAAAUAAAGUCACAGCCUGAGCCGGGGAACCGCAGCUCCCACACCAUCAACACCCUCGGAGGGGGCAAGCAGAACCUCUGGCCUCCUAUCAGCUUUCUGAAGAUGAGAAGUCCAAGAGCAUCGUAGUGGCAUCUGACAAGCGUCAUUCCAUGGCAGAAGACAAGACAGCAGGCAAGCCUCCUAGACAGAGAGAAAAAGGGGACUGAACUCAGCCUCUCAGGAAACCACUCUCACAAUAACUAACCCACUCCGGAGAUAACAGCAUUAAUCCACUCGGAGGACUGAGCUCUCAUGGCCUAAUCACCUCUUAAAGACCUCACAUCCCAAUGCCAUUACAUUGACAGUUAAGUUUCAACACGAGUUUCUGAGGGAACAUUCAAACCAUAGCAACCCUUGUGCCAUUUAUUCAGCAGAGACAACAGUUGCAGGCUUCAGUUCUUUCCACCAAGAGGACCAAACAAAUCUUCAGCCUUCUUGGUUCUGCUUUUAUAAUGUUUUCUUCUGGUUCCUUUUUUGAAAAUCUUAUCCCUACAGUUGUUUAUAAAAUAAAAGAAAUGGGAAU
This 2973-nucleotide long non-coding RNA is filed under the name Homo sapiens (human). Its description in RNAcentral is "uncharacterized LOC101928343 (LOC101928343)". Lineage: Eukaryota; Metazoa; Chordata; Mammalia; Primates; Hominidae. The record is from RNAcentral.